UCUUACACCACUUCCAGAGUGGCCACAGGGUACUCAAGGUCGGCUUGGGAUCUUCUUCAGAGAAGAGGCACCCAAUCCACUUUACCCCUAAUAGGAACAUUGUCUUUAAAAUACCAAAGGGCUGGCCUGAAUGGGAAAGGAAAUGGGCUGUAGGCCCUCUUAUGAUUAUGAAGGUGGCAUAUUUCUUUGGCUGCUAAUCUACUACUUAACUAGAAUUUUAAGGCUCAAACUCUUUUGAUAAAACAUUGGCUGCAAUAUAUCAAUGCUAUUUCAAAUCUUGUUCAUAGAACCACUUCCCCAGUCCAAUAUGAACAUCCCACUAUGUUAUGGUUUUUAUCUGGAAUGUCCCCAAAAGACUUAAAAUGGACUACAAGGAGGAGGUGUGGCAGGGUUGGAGAAAGUAGGCCACUGGGUGUGUACCCUUUGGGACUAUAUUUUGUCCCUGGUCCUGCCCCCUAUCCCCCACCACUUCCUGGCUGCCAUGAAGUGAGCAGUUUUCUUCUGCCAUGUCUUUCUGCUAGGGUGCUUUUAUCUUGAAGUCAGCUGACCAUGGACUGAAACCUCUGAAACCAUAAGCCAAAAUGAAUCUUUCUUUCUCUAAUAUUUUUUCCUCAUGUAUAUGUCACAGCAACUAAAAGCAAACAUGCACCCCCACUUCAACCUCCACGUUCCUUAACUAGAAAAGCACUUCAGGAGCUCCUUGGAAUAUCCUUUUUAAGAAAGGGCAAUUCAGAUUACAGCUAUCCUUCCAACAGCUCCCUUCCUAUCUCCACCUGUGUGGAAAAAUAGGAAGAACGUUUUACUGCUCUCUCCAGAACUAUAGAAAAUAUCUUCUUGAUGAAAACAGUGAACCAGCCUCUGAUCUAAUGCUUCUCUCCAUUAAUAGAAAUCUAUGGACAGAACUACUCCUAGUUAAGGUGUGCAUUAUUUGUAUUGCUCAUUUCUAUUUCAUUUUCUUUGAUUUUCUGUUUUCUCUAUGUUGUUCAUUUUGUCUUAUUCUAACGGACUUUUUCUGACUGAAUUCUAUCCCAUUAGAAAUUUCUGACUGAAAUUCUAUCCCAGUCCCUAAACCCAUAGAGUAAUACCUCGGUAUCACCUACAAUGCCAGCCCCUGCAUAUGAUAUUUUGGUUGAAUGAGAAAAACAAGAUAAAUUAUAGACUUUUGACUUUCAUGUUGUCUGAUGCUCUGGGCUGAGAAAAUGUUCCACUCUCUCCCCUGUAGCAUGGCUUUGGUGUUACAACUCAUCAACAAAAGGUGUAUGCCCCAAGUUUGCACUUGCUGCCAUUGACUUCUGGACAGAAACAAAUUUCUUUGCAGCAUUUAUGACAUCAGUGUUGGCCACCGAGUCAAUUUGUUGAAGGAGUGUGGAUGGUGGUAUGUAAGAACCAGCAGCUAGAGUCUGGGAUUCAACUUCAUUCUGGAAGCCUUCAGAAGACUUCACUGACAUUAGGUAUCCAGCUUUCAGUUUGUUCUUGGCAGCCUGGACAUCUGCAUUGGAAAGGUUUCCUUGGGCAAUUGUUUUUACUUGGUUAUAGGCAGCCUUGAUCACAUCUACAGCAACUACAGCCAGGAAGACAGUGUAAAUUCCAAAAAGCCAGAAUCUAAGUAAUUGGCAUUGAAAGAAGAAACAGUGAAUUUCUGGUGCUUUCCUUUGGCAACAGCCUGGUACUAUCUUGCCUGUCUUUAAGCCACAGUGACAGUGAGUCAGAGCACUCUUGAGCCAUGAAGCUACUGACUAGAGCCAGGUCCUUCUCAAGAUUUUAUUCCUUCAAAGUUGCUCCCCAAUUAAAGGUACAACUGCCCCUGCAGGGGUUACUCUACAUCCUCAGGACCUUGAGUUUACCAAAUUACCAAAUGGUUUGAUAACUGUUUCUCUGGAAAACUAUGCUCCUGCAUCAAGAAUUGGUUUGUUCAUUAAAGCAGGCAGUAGAUAUUAGGACUCCAACCAUUUAGGAACCUCUCAUUUGCUGGGUCUUGCAUCCAGUUUAGCUACAAAGGGUGCUUCAUCUUUCAAGAUAACCCAAGGAAUUGAAGCAAGUGAUGGUAAACUAAGUGUGACUGGGAAAUGGAGUGCCUGAAGUAUGAUGGUGACAUUUCAAUGGAAUUCCUGCUCAAUGUCACCACAGCACCAAAAUUUUGUUGUUGGGAAGCAGUUGCCCUUCAGUCUCAGCUAAGGAUUGACAGAAUCCACAGGCUCUUCUUGUUGAAAAUUUGCAUGCUGCUGUUUACCAGAAUGCCUUAGCUAAGUCAUUGUAUUGCCUGACUAUAGGAUUGGAAAAGUGUCAUCAGAAGAGUUAUAUCACUUUGUUCAGAACCAUUUUACAAGCACAAGAAUGACUUUGAUUGGGUUUGAUGUGAGUCAUCCUGUAUUAAAGCAGGUUGCUGAACAGUUCCUCAAUAAAAAGGGUGGGCUUGAUUUUUACCUGGUGCAAAGGCCAUCAUGGAGGUGAAAUUUGAGACCAAAAUGGAGACAAUCUUGUCCAUGCUGCUGUUGUAGCAGAAAGUGCUGCUAUAGGAAGUGCAGAAGCUCAUGCAUUCACUGUUUUUCAGCAUGUCCUUGCUGCUGGACCACAUGUCAAGAGGGGCAGAAAUGCCACUAGCAUCUUGUACAAGACAGUUUCUUUAGAGACAAACUGUCUUUGGAUGUUUGCUUCUUCCUGUGUCUUUACAUGAGGCUAAUUGCUCAAUGUACUAUGGUUGACAGCCAAUAAAAAAUGGGCUGUGGGAAUUCUCCAAUUUGAAGAAAUUGCUCCUGUAUCAGGAGCUCUCUGUACCUUACAUGGAUCACCUUGGAUCCUACUGGUUUCCAAAUAUGCAAUCUGCUUCCUGCUAUAAAAGACUUGGAACUCUUCUGGAGAGUGUUUGUGGGUUGCUUGGACAAGAAGGGGCUACAAGUUUUGGGAAAUUAAAGCCCUUGGGAAUAUCCCUGGAGCAAUGAUUCAAGAGGAUCCAUUGGGAGAGACAAUGUGGAAACAUGACCUAAACCAUGAUUUUAAAUCUUUCCUAGGAGGAACCAGUUAGUAAAUAUUUUUUUAAAAUACUUUUAUUAGUUUUUGAUGGAUCUUUUUAAAAUUUAUUUGCUUAUAUGUGGUGCUGAGACUUGAACCCAGUGCCUCACACAAGCUGGGCAAGCGCUGUACCACUGAGCCACAACGCUAGCCCCUAGUAAAUAUAUUUUUUCUUUUUUUUUAAAUUUAUUUCUUACAUACAUGACAAUGGUGGAGUGCAUUACAUUCAUAAUUAUCCAUUCACAGCACAAUUUUUGUAACUCUGUAUAUAAAGUAUAUUCACACCAAAUUAUGCCAUUAUACAUGAGCUCUCUUAUUUUUUUUGCAUACAAUUCUUAAUAUACAUUUAUACCACCAUUUAUCAUAUCUCUGUUUGUAUAUAAGGUAUGUUGACACCAAAUUCACAUCUUCAUACAUGUAUUUUGUAUAAUGAUUACCCUCUCCUUCCACCACCCUCCUAGUAAAUAUUUUAAUCAUUGUGGAUCAUCUGGUCUCCACCACAACUACUCAGUUCAGCAGUUUUAGGGAACCAAGAUGCAUCUACCAAGCAGUGAUAGCAUAGAUGAAAUGUAAAUAAAUGGACAAGGCUUUAUAACAAGAAAACAUUAUCACUACUAAAAUUUGAAUCUCAAGAACUUGCAUGUCAUAAAAUAUUAAUUACUUUUCUAUCAUUUAAAAAUAUAAAAGCAUUUUUGCUUUAGAGUCAUAAUAAAAAACUAACAGGCUGGAUUCAGCUGUAAUUUUCUGAUCCCAGUCUAAAUGGUUUCCCAGGAUCCCUAAUGAGAUCAGCCCUGGUUGCCUGCAGCAGUAAUCUUCUCAUUAGAGCCUUUGAUUGGCUCUCUUCCCUUCCCUGGCUUACUCAUCUAUUCCUCUGGAAUCCUCUUCCAAAUAAACUUUGACCUCAAAGCCCUUGCAG
This 3925-nucleotide long non-coding RNA is filed under the name Marmota monax (woodchuck). The record is from RNAcentral. Lineage: Eukaryota; Metazoa; Chordata; Mammalia; Rodentia; Sciuridae.